RNAcentral lists this long non-coding RNA (225 nucleotides) under Setaria italica (foxtail millet). Its description in RNAcentral is "long non-coding RNA (SITA_LNC002763)". The record is from RNAcentral. Lineage: Eukaryota; Viridiplantae; Streptophyta; Magnoliopsida; Poales; Poaceae.
AAAGUUUUCAUGGAAGAUGGAGGCGCACGCGUGUGUGCGAGAGAAAAAGAGCGCGCAAAAGAAUGCAGAGACGAGGGAAACUAGAAGUAAUUAGAUUUCAGCCACUUAGCCGCCGGCGUCGAAGCGAGAUUUGCACAGCUGCAGGAACACCUCACCAUCAAGCAUGCCUCUUCUCGCCUUCUCCGACCAAGUGCCUACUCGAGAGUCGAGAGGGGUGCGGCCGUG